Molecule: ribosomal RNA, 253 nt
Filed under: uncultured bacterium
Lineage: Bacteria
Description: partial 16S ribosomal RNA
Rfam family: Bacterial small subunit ribosomal RNA
Source: RNAcentral
UACGUAGGGUGCGAGCGUUAAUCGGAAUUACUGGGCGUAAAGAGCGCGCAGGCGGUCGGAUAAGUCGCGUGUGAAAGCCCCCGGCUCAACUGGGGAGGGUCACGCGAUACUGUUCGACUCGAAGGCAGGAGAGGGUAGUGGAAUUCCCGGUGUAGUGGUGAAAUGCGUAGAUAUCGGGAGGAACACCAGUGGCGAAGGCGACUACCUGGCCUGUUCUUGACGCUGAGGCGCGAAAGCUAGGGGAGCAAACGGG